This 484-nucleotide ribosomal RNA is filed under the name uncultured bacterium. RNAcentral describes it as "partial 16S ribosomal RNA". It matches the Rfam family "Bacterial small subunit ribosomal RNA", at positions 29 to 507 of the family's 1533-position model. The record is from RNAcentral.
AUUGAACGCUGGCGGCAGGCUUAACACAUGCAAGUCGAGCGGAUGACGGGAGCUUGCUCCUGGAUUCAGCGGCGGACGGGUGAGUAAUGCCUAGGAAUCUGCCUGGCAGUGGGGGAUAACGUCCGGAAACGGGCGCUAAUACCGCAUACGUCCUGAGGGAGAAAGUGGGGGAUCUUCGGACCUCACGCUAUCAGAUGAGCCUAGGUCGGAUUAGCGAGUUGGUGGGGUAAAGGCCUACCAAGGCGACGAUCCGUAACUGGUCUGAGAGGGUGAUCAGUCAGACUGGAGCUGAGACACGGCCCAGACUCCUACGGGAGGCAGCAGUGGCGAAUAUGGGACGAAGGGGGAAAGCCUGAUCCAGCCAUGCCGCGUGUGUGAAGAAGGUCUUCGGAGUGUAAAGCACUUUUAGUUGGGAGGAAGGGCAGUAAGUGAAUACCUGGCUGUAUUGACGUUACCAACAGAAGAAGCACCGGCUAACUUCGUG